Molecule: ribosomal RNA, 906 nt
Filed under: Triticum aestivum (bread wheat)
Lineage: Eukaryota; Viridiplantae; Streptophyta; Magnoliopsida; Poales; Poaceae
Description: partial small subunit ribosomal RNA
Source: RNAcentral
AUGGUGGCCGUGCCCUUGCGCGGCGGCGAAGAAGACGGCGGCGUCGUCGGGGUAGUAGCUGCAGCCCUCGUCGCUGCCCGCGCCGUCGUCCUCCUCCGACUGGAUGCCGCCCGCCACGGGGCCCAUCACGCACUCGUGGUACUCGUCGCCGCCGGCGCCCCCCGGGAAGCAGUACGAGUCCACGCUGCUGUCCACCACGCCGGCGAGACCGCAUCCGCUCCCGAGCAGCGCGUCCCUCGCGUCCAGCACCGCGCUCCCGCCGCUCCCCGGGCUCAGCCUCUCCUCGUCCUUCACAUGCAGCUGCUGCUGCACCACCUCGAACGCCUCCGCUGCCGCGGCAUGUUCCUCGGCGUUGGCCAAGGAAGCCUUCGCCUCCGCCGCCGCCUGCUCCGGCUCCAAGGCGUCGACGGCUGCACCGAAGCUGCCUUCCGGCGCCUCCUUAUCUUGCAUCUUCUCGGUCAACGUUACCACCUGACGGCACAAAGCUGUGACCGGAGCCGGUGGUUGUCCUGGAGGAGGGCGUCGUGGUCGGCCCGGAGGGCGUCGAAGGACGCCUUGAGGCGGUCGAAGUCGCGCUCCAGCGUCUUUGUCUUCCACCGGGCGCGGCGGUUCUGGAACCAGACGGCCACCUGGCGUGGCUGCAGCCCGAGCUUGCGGGCCAGCUCCGUCUUCCUCUCCGGCUCCAGCUUAUUCUCCUCCUCGAACAUGUCAUCCGGCGAGGUGAAGAAGGGCCGCUUCACGCCGCGCCCUUCUUCCAUGCCGCCGAGGACCGGUCUCACCCCUUCAUCACUCAAACAUGGCAACCCCAAUCAGUACACCAAUCACUCUCCACUCUCCACACAAUCAAGAAGGCGAGACCUACUAACGAACCAAACAACCGGGAUCGAGAAAACUAGUAGUGGAUGA